Molecule: unclassified non-coding RNA, 222 nt
Filed under: plant metagenome
Description: partial contains small subunit ribosomal RNA, internal transcribed spacer 1, and 5.8S ribosomal RNA
Source: RNAcentral
UUUCCGUAGGUGAACCUGCGGAAGGAUCAUUAAAGAACGCCCCGUUUUUUGAAAUGGGUAAUUCUAAACCGUGUAUACAUACCUUUGUUGCUUUGGCAGGCUGCCCCUCAGGGCGUCGGCUCCGGCUGACUGCGCCUGCCAGAGGACCCAAACUCUUUUGUUUAGUGAUGUCUGAGUACUAUAUAAUAGUUAAAACUUUCAACAACGGAUCUCUUGGUUCUG